Molecule: ribosomal RNA, 795 nt
Filed under: Enterococcus faecium
Lineage: Bacteria; Bacillati; Bacillota; Bacilli; Lactobacillales; Enterococcaceae
Description: partial 23S ribosomal RNA
Rfam family: Bacterial large subunit ribosomal RNA
Source: RNAcentral
GAGAUUUCCGAAUGGGGGAACCCAACAUCUUUAAUAGGAUGUUACGAUUGUGUGAAUACAUAGCACAUUCGAGGUAGACGCAGAGAACUGAAACAUCUAAGUACCUGCAGGAAGAGAAAGAAAAUUCGAUUCCCUGAGUAGCGGCGAGCGAAACGGGAAAAGCCCAAACCAGCAAGCUUGCUUGUUGGGGUUGUAGGACUCCAAUAUGGUAGUUCUUUCAGAUAGUCGAAUGACUUGGAAAAGUCAGUCAAAGAGGGUAAAAACCCCGUAGACGAAAUGUGGAAGACACCUAGGAGGAUCCUGAGUACGGCGGAACACGAGAAAUUCCGUCGGAAUCCGGGAGGACCAUCUCCCAAGGCUAAAUACUCCCUAGUGACCGAUAGUGAACCAGUACCGUGAGGGAAAGGUGAAAAGCACCCCGGAAGGGGAGUGAAAUAGAACCUGAAACCGUGUGCCUACAACAAGUCAAAGCCCGUUAAUGGGUGAUGGCGUGCCUUUUGUAGAAUGAACCGGCGAGUUACGAUUGCAUGCGAGGUUAAGUUGAAGAGACGGAGCCGCAGCGAAAGCGAGUCUGAAUAGGGCGUUUGAGUAUGUAGUCGUAGACCCGAAACCAUGUGAUCUACCCAUGUCCAGGUUGAAGGUGCGGUAAAACGCACUGGAGGACCGAACCCACGUACGUUGAAAAGUGCGGGGAUGAGGUGUGGGUAGCGGAGAAAUUCCAAACGAACUUGGAGAUAGCUGGUUCUCUCCGAAAUAGCUUUAGGGCUAGCCUCGGAAUUGAGAAUGAUGGAGGUA